Molecule: non-coding RNA, 38 nt
Organism: Flavobacteria bacterium MS024-2A
Lineage: Bacteria; Pseudomonadati; Bacteroidota; Flavobacteriia
Source: Rfam
AUUAAUAAUCAGAGGGUCGGGAAUCCUCACAAAUUAAU